GGUUGCUUCGUUCUGGAUUAGAAAGCACAGUGGUUGGUGCACUGAAUGCUUUGCUUGUGCUUGAAAGUGAUGAUGCAACAAGUGCUGAAGCAAUGGCAGAAAGUGGUGCAAUUGAGGCACUGUUGGAACUUCUGAGAAGCCAUCAAUGCGAGGAAACUGCCGCUAGACUACUGGAAGUACUUCUUAAUAACGUGAAGAUCAGAGAAACCAAGGUUACUAAGUCAGCAAUUGUACCAUUAUCCCAGUAUCUCUUGGAUCCUCAAACUCAAGCUCAACAGCC
RNAcentral lists this unclassified non-coding RNA (280 nucleotides) under Hevea brasiliensis (rubber tree). Lineage: Eukaryota; Viridiplantae; Streptophyta; Magnoliopsida; Malpighiales; Euphorbiaceae. The record is from RNAcentral.